RNAcentral lists this ribosomal RNA (970 nucleotides) under Enterobacter roggenkampii. Its description in RNAcentral is "partial 23S ribosomal RNA". It matches the Rfam family "Bacterial large subunit ribosomal RNA", at positions 165 to 1175 of the family's 2925-position model. The record is from RNAcentral. Lineage: Bacteria; Pseudomonadati; Pseudomonadota; Gammaproteobacteria; Enterobacterales; Enterobacteriaceae.
CAUAGGUUAACGAGGCGAACCGGGGGAACUGAAACAUCUAAGUACCCCGAGGAAAAGAAAUCAACCGAGAUUCCCCCAGUAGCGGCGAGCGAACGGGGAGCAGCCCAGAGUCUGAAUCAGCUUGUGUGUUAGUGGAAGCGUCUGGAAAGUCGCACGGUACAGGGUGACAGUCCCGUACACGAAAGCACACAGGUUGUGAACUCGAAGAGUAGGGCGGGACACGUGGUAUCCUGUCUGAAUAUGGGGGGACCAUCCUCCAAGGCUAAAUACUCCUGACUGACCGAUAGUGAACCAGUACCGUGAGGGAAAGGCGAAAAGAACCCCGGCGAGGGGAGUGAAAAAGAACCUGAAACCGUGUACGUACAAGCAGUGGGAGCACCUUCGUGGUGUGACUGCGUACCUUUUGUAUAAUGGGUCAGCGACUUAUAUUCUGUAGCAAGGUUAACCGUAUAGGGGAGCCGAAGGGAAACCGAGUCUUAACUGGGCGUUAAGUUGCAGGGUAUAGACCCGAAACCCGGUGAUCUAGCCAUGGGCAGGUUGAAGGUUGGGUAACACUAACUGGAGGACCGAACCGACUAAUGUUGAAAAAUUAGCGGAUGACUUGUGGCUGGGGGUGAAAGGCCAAUCAAACCGGGAGAUAGCUGGUUCUCCCCGAAAGCUAUUUAGGUAGCGCCUCGUGAACUCAUCUUCGGGGGUAGAGCACUGUUUCGGCUAGGGGGCCAUCCCGGCUUACCAACCCGAUGCAAACUACGAAUACCGAAGAAUGUUAUCACGGGAGACACACGGCGGGUGCUAACGUCCGUCGUGAAGAGGGAAACAACCCAGACCGCCAGCUAAGGUCCCAAAGUCAUGGUUAAGUGGGAAACGAUGUGGGAAGGCACAGACAGCCAGGAUGUUGGCUUAGAAGCAGCCAUCAUUUAAAGAAAGCGUAAUAGCUCACUGGUCGAGUCGGCCUGCGCGGAAGAUGUAA